UUGAAAACAAAGAGCAGAAAAAGUAGCUUAAUUAUAUUUGUAUAGAGAGCCUUUGGUUGGUGGAAAAAGGUCAAAGUAUUAAGUGAAACACAUCUGGGAGUUAACUUUUCGAAAAUCAUCAGUAGAAAAGUUCGUUUGAGACACGUUAUGACACUCGAAGUUAUAAACUUCAUGAGGUUAUUGUUGUGAGACAAUAACAAAUAAAGGUGGAACCACGAUUAUAUCGUCCUUUGG
RNAcentral lists this non-coding RNA (234 nucleotides) under Vagococcus teuberi. RNAcentral describes it as "T-box sequence". It matches the Rfam family "T-box leader". From Rfam's summary of the family: Uncharged tRNA acts as the effector for transcription antitermination of genes in the T-box leader family. The record is from RNAcentral. Lineage: Bacteria; Bacillati; Bacillota; Bacilli; Lactobacillales; Enterococcaceae.